RNAcentral lists this ribosomal RNA (392 nucleotides) under uncultured bacterium. Its description in RNAcentral is "partial 16S ribosomal RNA". It matches the Rfam family "Bacterial small subunit ribosomal RNA", at positions 523 to 918 of the family's 1533-position model. The record is from RNAcentral.
AUACGGAGGAUCCGAGCGUUAUCCGGAUUUAUUGGGUUUAAAGGGUGCGCAGGCGGCCAUUUAAGUCAGCGGUUAAAUCGUGGGGCUCAACCCCAUUCUGCCGUUGAUACUGGGUGGCUUGAUUGCGGUCGAGGUUGGCGGAAUUCGUUGUGUAGCGGUGAAAUGCAUAGAUAUGACGAAGAACACCGAUUGCGUAGGCAGCUGACCAGACCGCAAAUGACGCUCAUGCACGAAAGUGCGGGGAUCGAACAGGAUUAGAUACCCUGGUAGUCCGCACAGUAAACGAUGAUGACUAACCGUCGGCGAUAGACCGCCGGCGGCCAAGCGAAAGCGAUAAGUCAUCCACCUGGGGAGUACGCCGGCAACGGUGAAACUCAAAGGAAUUGGCGGGG